AUAAACCGCCGAGACAGUAUGUUCCAUGCAAAUGCACUCACAGAAACAGAAACAGGAAUUCAGUAGAAUGUGAGAGCGCUCAAAAUGUUUGUGGCUUCUCACUGUCAUCUCUCUUUCUGGCUUUCCUUCUCAGCGUUAACUCCGCCAGAAGAAACCCAUCAAAGUCUCUCUGUCUGUUUUGUCGAAGGACCACGAGGGUCCGUUGCUGCCCGGGUGCGGCGGCGGAUUCUCUACAGAGCUUCCCCACAACGCACUCAAAGAGCUCGAAGAACCAAGAUCUUCAACGUUUCAUUUUCUCUUUCUUUCAUAAUAAAUCGUUUAAACGUAUCUUGUUGAAGGUGUGGUCCUUGCUAGUGAAACUGUAGUUUUGAGUCCUGAGAUGAUCUUUUAUAGUUCAUCCUGCUCUGUAAAGGAUAGGUCUCCCAGAUUGAUUUCAGAUUAGAGCCUGGACCAAUAGCACAUUUCAGCAGCAUGGCGUAAUAUUUGGGUGCCUCAUAGCCAGUACCAAAUAUUUUAACUACAUUAGAGAGAACAUCAGAAUUUGGCGAGCCAAUGAAGUGGAGCCAAAUGUUUGAGUUAAGACAUGUCUAAUUUGAAGAUAUCUCCAAAACUGCUGCUGAUGGAGACCAAAUUGUUGCUUCAGUUCUGUGAAUGAUUUCAUUAUGUCUUUGUCAUAUAAAUUGCCCAGUACCAAAAUACCCCCAUCUACCCAGUGCUUCCAAAAAAAUGGUUUUAUUCUCUAUUUUUAAAGUGAAACUCUCGCCAAAAAGCAACCAAGGCUUUAUUUGGGCUUGAAUAUGAGUCAAACCUUCGUGUAAAAGCAUAAUUAUGACGAAAGAGGCACUUUUAAGAUUUACCGUAGUUUCGGUUUUGGGCACGUAAAUUUUGAACGGGAGAGCUAGGGGCAUGACACACUAGCUAUUUUUAGAACACUAAGAAGGCUCGACACAACAUGAAACUUUGCUCCUAGCAUCACCAGGGUUUCUACUCAUGAACAAGAGCAUUGAGAACAUUGUUUGUGCACACACAGUUUAUAAAAAAAAGAAGGUUUUUGAACUACUCACGUUAGCUUCUGCAUCUCCUGCGCAUCGCCGUCAUGGCAGGCAAAAAGUGUCGAUUCCCGAGUGCGACCUGACAGGCAGGAGAGUAAUGGUGAACCGCUCCUCAAACGUGCCUGUCAGGUCGCACUCAGGGAUCGACACUUUUUGUCUGGCAUGACGCCGAUGCGCAGGGGGUGCAGCAGCUAACGUGAGUAGUUCAAAAGCCUUCUUUUUCAUAAACUCUGUGUACACAAACAAUGUUCUCAAUGCUCGUGUUCAUGAGUAGAGACCCUGGUGAUGCUAGGAGCAAAGUUUCAUGUUGUGUCGAGCCUUCUUAGUGUUCUAAAAAUAGCGAUUUUGAUGCUAGUGUGUCAUGCCCCUAGCUCUCCCGUUCAAAAUGAACGUGCCCAAAACCGAAACUACGGUAAAUCUUAAAAGUGCCUCUUUCGUCGUAAUUAUGCUUUUACAUGAAGGUUUGACUCAUAAUCAAUCCAAAAUAAAACCUCGGUUGCUUUUUGGCGAGAGUUUCGCUUUAACUUAGGGUUAAGCCAGAUGCUUGCUGAUAAAUUCAGGUGGGGGCUAGAUUUAAGCUUAAUUGAAAUUAUUUUCCAGAUCAAUUGCAUGUUCGCAAGUAUAGGACGGUUCUGUGCUUCAGCAGACAGUACUGCUGUGAUAAAUUGGAGGGGAAGGUGUGCAUCACAGAGUGCGCUUUUAAUGCAGUACCAGGUUGGAGCUUGCUCAGGGGGCAAGCACCAGGUAUUUGAUGCCAUUGCUAGGCCAUGAGAAAUUGCCUCUCUGGUACAAUGACUUGGGACAGUGCAAAGUCAAGGGAAGAACCUCUGAUUUCGACCAAUUAACUUUGUAACCUAGAAAUUGUCUAUAAUUUUGAAUAGUGCAGGAAGUUAGUGCUCAGGCUCAGAGAUGAGAAGGAGGAUAUCGUCCACGUACAACAUACGUUUGUGGACUGACUGGCCCGGAAUUACCGGUUCCAAGCGAAUGGUUGUGGCCAGGGGUUCGAAGGCCAACGCAAAGAGGCCCAGGGGGAUACAAUCGCCUUGCCUGGUACCUCUGCUAAGCUCAAACCAGGGUGAAAUCAGGCUGUUAGUUAACACUGCCGCUCUAGGAUGAAUAUACAACAGCCGAAUCCAAGUGAUAAUUUUGUUGCUGAAACCAAAU
Molecule: long non-coding RNA, 2216 nt
Organism: Sparus aurata (gilthead seabream)
Lineage: Eukaryota; Metazoa; Chordata; Actinopteri; Spariformes; Sparidae
Source: Ensembl